AUUGAACGCUAGCGGGAUGCCGUACACAUGCAAGUCGAACGGCAGCGCGGACUUCGGUCUGGCGGCGAGUGGCGAACGGGUGAGUAAUGUAUCGGAACGUGCCCAGUAGCGGGGGAUAACUACUCGAAAGAGUAGCUAAUACCGCAUACGCCCUACGGGGGAAAGGGGGGGAUCGCAAGACCUCUCACUAUUGGAGCGGCCGAUAUCGGAUUAGCUAGUUGGUGAGGUAAAGGCUCAACCAGGCGACGAUCCGUAGCUGGUUUGAGAGGACGACCAGCCACACUGGGACUGAGACACGGCCCAGACUCCUACGGGAGGCAGGAGUGGGGAAUUUUGGACAAUGGGGGAAACCCUGAUCCAGCCAUUCCGCGUGUGCGAUGAAGGCCUUCGGGUUGUAAAGCACUUUUGGCAGGAAAGAAAUCGCAUCAAUUAAUACUUGGUGUGGAUGACGGUACCUGCAGAAUAAGCACCGGCUAACUACGUGCCAGCCGCCGCAGUAA
RNAcentral lists this ribosomal RNA (500 nucleotides) under uncultured bacterium. RNAcentral describes it as "partial 16S ribosomal RNA". It matches the Rfam family "Bacterial small subunit ribosomal RNA", at positions 30 to 523 of the family's 1533-position model. The record is from RNAcentral.